This 69-nucleotide transfer RNA is filed under the name Ictidomys tridecemlineatus (thirteen-lined ground squirrel). RNAcentral describes it as "Spermophilus tridecemlineatus (thirteen-lined ground squirrel) tRNA". It matches the Rfam family "tRNA". Rfam says of the family: Transfer RNA (tRNA) molecules are approximately 80 nucleotides in length. Their secondary structure includes four short double-helical elements and three loops (D, anti-codon, and T loops). Lineage: Eukaryota; Metazoa; Chordata; Mammalia; Rodentia; Sciuridae. The record is from Rfam by way of RNAcentral.
GGGGUUGUGGCUCAGAGGUAGAGCGCUUGCCUAGCAUGCAUGAGACAUGAGAAACUGGGUUCGAUCCUU